RNAcentral lists this ribosomal RNA (497 nucleotides) under uncultured bacterium. Its description in RNAcentral is "partial 16S ribosomal RNA". It matches the Rfam family "Bacterial small subunit ribosomal RNA", at positions 28 to 507 of the family's 1533-position model. The record is from RNAcentral.
GAUGAACGCUGGCGGCGUGCCUAAUACAUGCAAGUCGAGCGAACAGAUAAGGAGCUUGCUCCUUUGACGUUAGCGGCGGACGGGUGAGUAACACGUGGGUAACCUACCUAUAAGACUGGAAUAACUCCGGGAAACCGGGGCUAAUGCCGGAUAACAUUUAGAACCGCAUGGUUCUAAAGUGAAAGAUGGUUUUACUAUCACUUAUAGAUGGACCCGCGCCGUAUUAGCUAGUUGGUAAGGUAACGGCUUACCAAGGCAACGAUACGUAGCCGACCUGAGAGGGUGAUCGGCCACACUGGAACUGAGACACGGUCCAGACUCCUACGGGAGGCAGCAGUAGGGAAUCUUCCGCAAAGGGCGAAAGCCUGACGGAGCAACGCCGCGUGAGUGAUGAAGGUCUUCGGAUCGUAAAACUCUGUUAUUAGGGAAGAACAAAUGUGUAAGUAACUGUGCACGUCUUGACGGUACCUAAUCAGAAAGCCACGGCUAACUACGUG